RNAcentral lists this ribosomal RNA (460 nucleotides) under uncultured bacterium. RNAcentral describes it as "partial 16S ribosomal RNA". It matches the Rfam family "Bacterial small subunit ribosomal RNA", at positions 338 to 795 of the family's 1533-position model. The record is from RNAcentral.
CCUACGGGAGGCAGCAGUGAGGAAUAUUGGGCAAUGGGCGUAAGCCUGAACCAGCCAAGUCGCGUGAGGGAUGAAGGUCCUAUGGAUCGUAAACCUCGUUUAUAAGGGAAUAAAGUGCGGGACGUAUCCCGUUUUGUAUGUACCUUAUGAAUAAGGAUCGGCUAACUCCGUGCCAGCAGCCGCGGUAAUACGGAGGAUCCGAGGGUUAUCCGGAUUUAUUGGGUUUAAAGGGUACGUAGGCGGCCUUUUAAGUCAGGGGUGAAAUCCUGUGGCUCAACCAUAGAAUUGCCGUUGAAACUGGGAGGCUUGAGUAUGUUUGAGGCAAGCGGAAUGCGUGGUGUAGGGGUGAAAUGCUUAGAUAUCACGCAGAACACCGAUUGCGAAGGCAGCCUGCCAAGCCAUGACUGACGCUGAUGAACGAAAGCGUGGGGAUCAAACAGGAUUAGAUACCCGUGUAGUC